UGCCUAAUAACCCCCUCCCCCUCCCGUUCGCUUUGGCUCCUGGGGGCAGAGUGUCUGGGAAACGGGGCGGCAUCCCAGGCGCUUUGGGUUUGAAAAGACCAUUUUUAGGUUUCUGGGUGCCGCCUGGCCGGCUUUGGCCGCUCUCCGUGGCCGUGUGGGUCGCUGGGCAGCCCGGGCGGGCCAGAAGAGGGUCUCUGGGCCUUGGGGGGCUCCGAGCGCGCCUAAAUCUCACGGAGAGCCUUGGCGGAGGCAGCCUUUGGGGCUCCCUCGCCCGCGAAGCCAAGGGUCGGCUUGUGGAGUCCGCGGCGUGCUCUGCAGCGCCAGGCGAGGCUCGUUUGGGAAGGGGCUGGAUGGUGGAGAAGCUCGCGCCGGCCCUCACUCGGAGGCCGUUCCACCAGGUGCCCGCCGGGCAGAGCCGGCAGGCGAAGAUGCGGGUGGGAGCCCCGAGGGGGCCAGGGUGAAGCCGGGCUUCCCUCUGCGCUCUGGGCCCAGGCGUGGGACAGGCUGUCUCAGGGCGCCCGUGGAAGGCUCCCCUCUAAAAGCUGGGCCGGGAAGCCUUUCCAGAGUCUGUCCAGAGCCUCGGAGGUUUGCCCCGGGGAGCCCCGUAAGACAGGGACACCCUGCCCUGGUGCUCGGAGGACCGGGGUGCCCAGAGCUGGGCCGGGGGCCUCAGAGGCUACCGGAUGCGACUCCCUCUCUGUACAGCGAUGGGCUCGAGGCCUGGCCGAGGGAAGAGGCCAGGCACGGACCCAGCGCCGGAAAGGCCUGCCGAGGAGGCCGAGCGCUGGGACACGGAGGGCCCCGAGGCCGUCAGGGCGCAGCCGGAGGCCUUCGUUUCAUGCUCGGGUUUCGGUGCUGGACCUGCCUGACACGCUGGUCGGGGCGCCCCCCAGGAAGGUGUCCGGCUGCCUCUGCGGCCCCUCCAGGCCUCACCAUUCAGAGCUGAGCCCCGGCCGAGGCCGCGUCCCGGGGACCCCGGAUAAGGUGGAAGCAUCCCACAGGCGGCUUCCCUGCCUGGCUCCCACCCGCAGAGAAAGAGGAAGAAGGCGCGUUAGCGAGGGGCGGGCGGAGAGCGAAAGGCUGGCCUCCGGGAGGAGCAGCUCAGCCAGUGGAGUCAGGAAGCCCGUNNNNNNNNNNN
RNAcentral lists this long non-coding RNA (1138 nucleotides) under Monodelphis domestica (gray short-tailed opossum). RNAcentral describes it as "lncRNA (ENSMODG00000044333.1)". Lineage: Eukaryota; Metazoa; Chordata; Mammalia; Didelphimorphia; Didelphidae. The record is from RNAcentral.